This is a long non-coding RNA of Canis lupus familiaris (dog), 2082 nucleotides long. RefSeq lists it as uncharacterized. The transcript is spliced from 5 exons. Lineage: Eukaryota; Metazoa; Chordata; Mammalia; Carnivora; Canidae. The record is from RefSeq and is a predicted model, not a curated record.
CACGUAUUAACCCCCCACCCCACCCCCCAGUCUCUCUAAACUCUGGUAAUUGUCUUUAAAUGUUAUCUGAGGGCAAAACCACUACUCCAGAGGGCAUCCGGUUUGUUCUUAAAUAGAAAAAGAGACUCAUACAGAGAAGGAGCUCACAGCUACAAAGGUGUGCACACGCGCAUCAGUAUGUACACGUACAGGGCGGUCAUGGGAUCUUCGGCAACCAUAGCCAGGGAUUUCUGUCAGGAGAGAAUGUGCUUAAUCUACUAAAAUUUUCUGAGAGGAUUUUGCUUCAUAAGCCCUUUGGGGGUGAAAAUGAAAAUGGAAUUUAUACUAAGGAGUGAAGUCUAGAGAACAUAAAAUCAUGGCUGACUUCCUGGAAAGAAAAUGAAGUCCAGAUAUCCAGUGACUCAUUCCAACAUUCAGUGGAGGAUGAAAAUUUGGCCUCAACACAUCUUCAAACAUUUAUAGAGUGUUUGCCAAGUACAAGAUCCCAGUGAAGGAAAAUACAAGAGAUAUCUCAUCCACAGACUACGCAGAAAUAUGAGAGAGGCCUGCCAAGCUCCAAGUAGAACAAGCUUCAGCCAACUUCAGCUGCCAUAAACUUAAAUAUGUGUUCCUUCCACUUGAGAAUGGCUUACUUCCGUCACUUAAAGGAAGAGCUGACUCUUCCACUGCAGACGUUCACCAGCCUUGGAAAAAAGCUAUAAAGUAAAUUAAAGUGCCCACAAGGUAUUUACUGAUCUACAAAAUGUUAACCAACCUUACGAUCUUUCCAGCAUGCCUCACAAGGAGGCUAAAUGGAUGAAAUUGUGUAGUGAUAACCAAACUCCCAUCUCCAAGCUUACCUGUAAAUAGUCACUCUCAAGCAAAGAGGUCAGAAAAAAAUACCAGAGAGGAGAGGAAAAAUGAACUCCUGUUGCUUUGAUGAGAAAUGUCCAAAUGCAGAAUAAAGAGAAAAGAGAGGCCCCAGGAAAGAACAUAUGAUUAUCUCUACACUGUUUCAGGACAACCAUCCUGAUAAUGGUGCUUUCGGCCUAUUGACUCUAUGGUUUGUCUAUCAGAGCAUCCUUUGGAUAGAGUUCAUACAGCCAGGCCACCACAUGUUUAGGGAACAAGACCAGUUAGAGAUGAGACCAUGCCUGUCACCAAAUGUAACACAUCUCUCAAUCACAUGUGUGGCGAGGGAAAGACAUUUAAAACUAGACAUCAGGACUGAGCUGGGGUCGUGAAGUCCAGUGAAAAUUUUCUUAAGCCUCGAAAGGAAUGAAGGCAAGACCACUCGAGCACCAAUUCUUUGUAAAGAAAAGAACAAUGGGAUCUGUCAUGUGACGACAGACCAGAAUCUGGGGAGUGAGGAGCCUUGAAAAGGUAUAUAAUAAGUAUGUUGCAUCAGUAUUGCCUUGUAGGAAAUCAUCUCUCAAAGCUCCAUGCCUUGUGCCUUGUCAGGUCAAUAGAUUCUCAUAUCUUUUAUUUUUUUCUGUUAUUUUAUUAUAGAAAUAAAGGAGAAGGAAGAAGCAAAGGAACACUUAUCAUUUACUAUGUGUACAGAACGUCACAUAGGUAGUCAUAAGGUUCCCAGAUUUCCUGAUUUGGGGGUUUCCCUUGAAUGCUUAGCAAAUGUGACCUGAGGCUCCAUCCCACACAAUCUCUUCUUCAUGAGUUUCUCCUUUCUUGAUAAGUCUGAGAUUUGCCAAAAAAAUAAAAAAUAAAAAUAAAUAAAAAUAAAAAUGCACCCACAGUCCUCUAUACUGACCUUCAUCAUCUCUUACUGGACUUCACCUCCAGACAUUUCUCUCCAUUGCUCUUGCCUUCUACCAACCUCUUGCUGUCUUCUCUCCACCCUGAGCAACAGCCUUUUUCUUUUUCCCAGAAAGCACAAGUAUCACCUAGUUUUAAUGUAUGAUAAAAGUUUACAAGUGGCUUGAGAAUCAUGUAAGGCAGUUACAAUGCCAGGAUGGAAAAUCCAGACCACACACCACAUAUUUCCACUCCUGGAAAUGAACUAAGCUGCUUCACAGGAACCCGCGACUGGCUGUUUCCUUCUGAGGCCCCAGUUUGCAACCCUGCUACUUAUUGACUUGCUCAUUA